Long non-coding RNA from Canis lupus familiaris (dog), 3973 nucleotides. RefSeq lists it as uncharacterized. Lineage: Eukaryota; Metazoa; Chordata; Mammalia; Carnivora; Canidae. The transcript has 11 exons. The record is from RefSeq and is a predicted model, not a curated record.
UUCCUGCACUGGGGUAUGAAGCGAUAGGUGAUAUUUUGGGGUGCCCUUCUGGCAUUCUCUGGUAUCUCGUCACUGUCCAGGCCACAACCCCAUGCUGCGCGACAAGGAGUGGCCUGCCCACAAAAAACGUUGGCGCUAUGGGAAACAUGCUCAGUGAACCCUAACACACACAUCCUCUCCAGCUGGGCCCUGAAACUGGAAAUGCCCUUCCCACGGGGGCAUGUUAACACCCUUCCUUCCUCCACCAGGAGAGGGGAGAUUGGGACCCACAGUGACGUCACAGUACUUACUGUCUGCUCAUAGUUCUAGGCGCCCCGCAAAUAAGAGGGAUCUUCAAUUCAGCCUGUGGAAACGAAAAGUAAACUCGUUACUGAGCCAGACACAUCAUGUUUUAAUUCUGGUGAACACGCUACUGUCGUUUCUUGUUAAAAUGGGAUAUAGGUGCCAGCUUAGGGGAAGUGACGGGAAGAGAAUCAAUCCAGUCAAGCUUCCUCCAGAGCAACAUUGCAGAGGCUUUGCCAAAGCGCUCACAUGAAGGACAUCAGGAAUGGACAGGACCUCCAAUUGGCCUGACCUACUGCUGUCUUCCUGAGUUUUGAAAUAACCAUUCCCUAUGGUUUGAGGGAGCCUCAGGGAUCAACAGCAUGGAGCAACAUGAUCGAGGGUCUACAAUACAAUAGAGAUAAAGAGGAUAAUCAGAUAAGUAACAUUGGUACACAAUAAAAAAGUCAGUAUUGAUAAAUUAUGGCCAUGUCAAUAUCUUGUAAAGCAAACAGACCUUGAUUACACUCUCUUUUCUGUCUCACUCAUUUAGAUUUUGUUUGUUUUCUCCAAGAAAAACCUGGCAGAGAUGCCUCCUGGCAUCUUGGAGGGCAAGCAUUGUACCCACCUUCACUCUUACAUUUGAGCUCCUCAUCCUUGUGAGUGAGAGGAUGGUCAGCAUGAUUCCAAAGUCACCCCAAACCAGAAAGGAAACGAUUUCAAUUUAGAAUAUUAAAAAAUAUAUAUCCACAGGGGCUUCAGGAGUUAACUUCUACUUUCAAUGACCUAUUUUGAAAUGAGGCUGCCUUUCUAGGGGGCUGUCCUAAUGAAGGUCAGCCAAGAAAGCCAGCAACCAGCCUGGCCUUUAGAUUUUAGUAGCAAACAGUCAGGGGGUCCAAGCUCCAGGAUGAGAAGAUUGAAAACAUCUAGUCUUUUAAUUUUUAAUGGGUAGGUAUCUUGAUUCUUUCUUCCAACAGAAUGAAGGGAUCUUUAAAAAGUGAGUUAAGGGAGCUGGCUUUCUUUAUGCUGUUCAAUGCUUUAAAGAAGGCCCAGCAUUGGACAUUAUAAAAACUUUUUUUGCUUGGUGUCAGCUCUUUCUUAAUGAUCAUUCAUGCCAGUGAGAUGCCCACCCAGAUGGACCUGGCCUACUUAGUUUACCUGAAGAGCAUGGACGUGCACAAGGUCCCGUGCUGAGAUGUUGGUCUUCUGCGAGGAGCCCCUGUGGCAGCAUUGCAGAGAACUCCAGGAGCCAGUAAUCCUGCUUUUGCAAUGCCACUAAUGCAUUAUAGAAGGCCACCAGAAACACUGCCUGAUGGAUAAGUGAUCUACAACAUCUGUGGACAAAGGAUGCAGUGUAUGGACUGAGCUGCCUAUGGGUCUGAAUGGGAUAUUUCUGUCAAUACUUGACACAGUGCCAAGUUCAGGCUUCUGUCACAUAGCUGGUCUUGAGAUGGUGUCAAGGCCUGGGUUUGACUCUGCAACUUGCAAAUACAUCUAUAAACCCCAAAGCACAAGAGAGACUGCUCAACACCAUCAUGAUAGGCAAGAUGACUGGUGUUCUUGUAACAAGAGGAGAGACACACAGAAAGGGGAAUACCAUGUGAAGACCCAGCCACACACUGGGAGAAGAUGGCCAUGUGAAGAUGAAAGAAAAGAUCCAAGUGAUGUGGUGGCAAGCCAAAAAAUACCUGGGCUGUUAGAAGCUGACAGAAGUAAAGAAGGAUCCUCUGCUCUAGAUUUUGGAGGAAUCAUAGUCCUACUGACACCCUGAUGGGAGACUUCUGGCCUCCAGAACUGUAACAGAAGACAUUUCUGUGGUGGUCCUUUUGGAUAUCCAUCAGGACCUAGCUCUGGGUGCAGUCACAUUCUACAUGAGCUUCCUCAGCCACUUCUACUGUGUUUAUGCCACAUCUACUUCACAAUCAGCCAGCACCUAACCUGAUAUUUACUCCUUGAGCCUCUUACCUCCAACACUGAGCACUUCACUUGCUGCUGAAGCAUGAGCCUUUGGACUUGGACUGAAACAUUGGCUCUUCUUGGGUCUCGAGUUUCAAACUGGAACUUAAGCCACAUGUUCUCCUGCUUCUCAGCCCUUUGAAUUCAGUCUGGAACUACACAUUCAAUCCCCUGGGUCUCUGUCUUGUUGACAGUGCAUCUUGGGACUUUUUUUUCAGCUUCUGAACCAUAUAAGGAAGCUUGAGACUCAGCCAAGUGAAGAGACCUGUUAAUCAUGCAGCUUGAAUGCAGUGACCAUACUGGAGCUCAGACCUCCUGACUCUAAGCCAUGUGCAUCUCCUCUUCUUCAGGGGACCAAUAAAGGAGUUUAGAUUCUUACUGGGGCUGAUGAGGCAACAAGAACUGGUGGGGACAAUUACCUGAAAAAUCUCCUUUUUCAUAGUGUGGUUGAGUGUCCUACAUUAAAUGAUAUCUCCUGGCCCCUCUGCACCAGGUUGGGUAGGUGAGAGCCCAGCUGAAAACUGGCAUUCUUUUGCUAGGACUGCAAAUCUCCAUUGAACUUCUGGUCCUCUCCAUGUUCUGUUCUAGAUGUUGGCAGGAUGAAUAAAACCCAGCCCCUGCUCUCAAAGAACUUGCAGUUAGGUAAAGACUUCCCUGUUGUGUUCUGAAGACAAUAAGAAGCCACUGAAGAAUUUUAUGCAGAGAAAUGUCACGAUCUGAUUUCCAUUUUCCAUGAGGUCAUUUGGAGGAGGUGUGAAGGAGAGUACCUAGAAUGUCUCGUAAAGUAUCUAGAGUAUCUGGUACCUAGAAAAGUAUAUAUUUAGAGAAGAGAGAGGGAACCCAAAGCAAAGAGACCAGUGGGGAGACUCACAAUUGUCUAGGAUCUAGGGUUCAGAAAGAUAGUAUGGUCAGGAAGGGCCAAGUGCCCAAUAUGGACUGGAAGGCUUAGAACUGAUGGGCUAGGCAGGUGAAGAGGGAGAUUCUAAGGACUGUGGCCAGGUUGGAUGGGUCUAUAGGAACAUAUACAAUGGGGCAGGAAGGAGGAAGAUAGCCCUAUUUUGGAGGGCUAGAGUUGCUUGAAGGUACAUAUGCCUGGUAUGAUGCAUGCACAUUUUGGAUGAAUAUGGUGGGGAUCAGCACCUGGAGGGAGGGACUGAGAGGUGGCACUCUGCAUAGAAGUGACUGGAGGCUUCUCACAGUGGUGUUUAGUGAUAUGACAACUGGCUAUUUUUCAAGAAAGGAGGUGCUAUAGGAGUUUGUGAAGCAGCCCAAGUCCUUUUAACACCAUCCACUUGCACCACUAUUUCUUGGAUAUGAGUCUGGAAUUCUGCUUCCAGUCAUGUUUUACUCUUGAAUUGUGAAAGUUAUUAACCCUAAUUGAAUUAUUAUUUAACAAAAUGCCUAGAAUAGUGCCUGGAAUGUGGUCUUUGCUGUUCGAGUACUUAUUAAGUAAAAUAAAUAAAUGCACUCCCAUCUAGAUGGCAGCUGAACUUUUUCUUCUUGCUGGGUACACAUUAAGCCUUGGGCAGGAAACAGAGAGAGAAGCCUGGGAGAAGCCCAUCAUAUAAAUGGGCUAAAGAAGACUGUUAGAAGGACCAUCCAGAGACUAAAAGAACAUCAGCAAAAGCUCAUGUCACAUCAUCACCCCUUCAAGGAGGAGAUGUCAACAGGAACAGAACCCAGGUGACAGAACAAAUAAGUUAAAGAUGGCAAGUGAUUUAUUAGGUUUGGAAUCCACCUCAAAGACAAGAGUUGG